This 68-nucleotide transfer RNA is filed under the name Claassenia xucheni. Its description in RNAcentral is "tRNA-Cys". The record is from RNAcentral. Lineage: Eukaryota; Metazoa; Arthropoda; Insecta; Plecoptera; Perlidae.
AGCCUUAUAGUCAAGAAAUGAUAUUAGACUGCAAUUCUGAAGGGGUAGAGUAGACUUUACUAAGGCUU